RNAcentral lists this non-coding RNA (25 nucleotides) under Drosophila melanogaster (fruit fly). Lineage: Eukaryota; Metazoa; Arthropoda; Insecta; Diptera; Drosophilidae. The record is from RNAcentral.
UAACGAUAGUGGACCAGUUUAUUUA